This 497-nucleotide ribosomal RNA is filed under the name uncultured bacterium. RNAcentral's name for it is "partial 16S ribosomal RNA". It matches the Rfam family "Bacterial small subunit ribosomal RNA", at positions 28 to 507 of the family's 1533-position model. The record is from RNAcentral.
GAUGAACGCUGGCGGCGUGCCUAAUACAUGCAAGUCGAGCGAACGGACGAGAAGCUUGCGUCUCUGAUGUUAGCGGCGGACGGGUGAGUAACACGUGGAUAACCUACCUAUAAGACUGGGAUAACUGCGGGAAACCGGAGCUAAUACCGGAAAAUAUUUUGAACCGCAUGGUUCAAAAGUGAAAGAGGGUUUUGCUGUCACUUAGAGAUGGAUCCGCGCUGCAUUAGCUAGGUGGUAAGGUAACGGCUUACCAAGGCAACGAUGCAUAGCCGACCUGAGAGGGUGAUCGGCCACACUGGAACUGAGCCACGGUCCAGACUCCUACGGGAGGCAGCAGUAGGGAAUCUUCCGCAAUGGGCGAAAGCCUGACGGAGCAACGCCGCGUGAGUGAUGAAGGUCUUCGGAUCGUAAAACUCUGUUAUUAGGGAAGAACAUAUGUGUAAGUAACUGUGCACAUCUUGACGGUACCUAAUCAGAAAGCCCCGGCUAACUACGUG